RNAcentral lists this ribosomal RNA (243 nucleotides) under uncultured Glomus. Its description in RNAcentral is "partial 25S ribosomal RNA". It matches the Rfam family "Eukaryotic large subunit ribosomal RNA", at positions 333 to 599 of the family's 3401-position model. The record is from RNAcentral. Lineage: Eukaryota; Fungi; Glomeromycota; Glomeromycetes; Glomerales; Glomeraceae.
ACCGAUAGCGAACAAGUACCGUGAGGGAAAGAUGAAAAGUACUUUGAAAAGAGAGUCAAACAGCGCGUGAAAUUGUUGAAAGGGAAACGAUUGAAGUCAGUCGUACCGACGGGAAAUCAACUAUCUUGAGUGCGAUUUUGUGGGUGGUGAUGAGCUUAACUGCCUUCAUAUUUGCAAAUUUGUAUUCUUGUGGUGUAUUUUUUCGUAUGGUGGGUCAACAUCAAUUUUGAACGUUAUAAAAUG